Caretta caretta (loggerhead turtle) is the source of this 200-nucleotide non-coding RNA. Lineage: Eukaryota; Metazoa; Chordata; Testudines; Cheloniidae. The record is from RefSeq and is a predicted model, not a curated record.
ACACAUUUCCAGCCUCAUCCUUUAUUUUUGGAAGAAUUAAUUCUAUAUUCUCUUCUAAGUAGUUCAGAUACAUGGUGUGACAGGGUCAGGCCAGAUGGCUACAGGAGAGUGAUAGAAGGCAGAUAUAUUAGCCCCACGUUAAGUAGAUCCCUUUUCCCUGGGUAAGGUAAUAGGGAAGGUUUUUUUUUUUUUUUUUUUUU